Molecule: ribosomal RNA, 468 nt
Filed under: uncultured bacterium
Lineage: Bacteria
Description: partial 16S ribosomal RNA
Rfam family: Bacterial small subunit ribosomal RNA
Source: RNAcentral
GACGAACGCUGGCGGCGUGCUUAACACAUGCAAGUCGAACGGAAAGGCCCUGCUUUUGUGGGGUGCUAGAGUGGCGAACGGGUGAGUAACACGUGAGUCACCUGCCCAUGACUUUGGGAUAACUUGAGGAAACUGGGGCUAAUACCGGCUAGGAGCUCCUGCUGCAUGGUGGGGGUUGGAAAGUUUCGGCGGUUGGGGAUGGACUGGCGGGUUAUCAGCUUGUGGGUGGGGGAGUGGCUUACCAAGGGUUUGGCGGGUAGCCGGCCUGGGAGGGUGGCCAGGCUCAUGGGGACUGAGAGACGGCCCAGACUCGUACGGGAGGCAGCGGUGGGGAGUAUUGCACAAUGGGCGGAAGCGUGUUGCAGAAGUGCCGCGUGCGUGAUGACGGCUUUCGGGUUGGAAACCGCUGUCAGCUAUGACGAAGCUGGAUUGACGUUAAUGGGUGAAGAAGCACCGGCUAACUACGUG